Dermacentor andersoni is the source of this 1806-nucleotide long non-coding RNA. RefSeq lists it as uncharacterized. The record is from RefSeq and is a predicted model, not a curated record. Lineage: Eukaryota; Metazoa; Arthropoda; Arachnida; Ixodida; Ixodidae.
AACACACACCAAAAGGAAACGGCGACACGUCAUAGGAGGCGCCUGAAAAAAAAAAAAAGGGAAAGACUGGGGGAACCGCGGUCGUCUUGCGAGUCUUGCGCGGUCGAACUCCCUCUCCCAGAAGGAAUGAAGAGGAUCUUGGAAAGCAGCAUCAGCUCCCACCAGCGAAGACGGGGCGAGAAAGCCAAGCGGGGCUUUCAUUGCUAUCUAUUUUUUCUUCGUCAAGCGCAACGCCGCCUGCUCGCAGGGGCGCAGGCGAGUUCCCGCCAAAUGGCGCGGAGGCUCAAGCAGGGGCGCGAGUUGCCGCCAAAUGCUAGCUCUGGAUGCCAGCUCGUUCCGCGUCUCUUGGUAGACUAGUUGGUGCAUUUCUGUUAUCAUGGACUGCGCAUAUAAACGCAAACUACACAAAAGUGACAUGGACAAGAACAGCGCAAGCCCUUUCCAUGCAGUGGAGCCGCCGUAUCUCGCCGUUCAAGAUAUGCGUACUCGAAGAAAAAAGAAAAAACAGGCUUUAUAUGAGAACGGAUCAAGCGUUCUAGAGUUGGGACAGGGAAAUGUGAGACGUACUUUCAUGUAUAUAUUUCUAAUAUUAUUCUUUCGUCUUGUAUUUUCCUUAAUUUUUCUCUAGGAAACACUAGAACGACACUGCUUAAAUUGAAGCACAGUGUGCGAAUGACCUGCUACGCUCGAAACUGUUGUCACCAUUCGGGAAGAAAUCAGAUGAAAAAACAAAACUGUAAAUGCCUGUACGAUAUACGUCUGGUGCAUUGCAGGUAAGAAUGGAUUGUGUGUGGCGCUUCACCGCAUGUGGACUAGAGUAGAUCUAGGAACAUCAGACAAGAAUGUAAGUUGUUAUGUUAUGUAAGUUGUUCCUCAAUUUUUCUGUUGUUCCAUUUUCGUAGUUUACGUGUAAUACUUUGUCACCGUGGUCUCGACGUUAUGUAUACCUAUACAUUUGUCUCGUGGCAGUCUGCGUGCAAUUUUGUUUGUGAGACUAUGUGUUGUAUUCGUUUAUCGCGCUGCCUGGAUGUUUUCUUUUUUUUUGCAAUGAUAUUCUGAGCCAAGCCAGUAAAUCCAUUCUUCCUGUCCUCAUGUUUCCUUGGGCGGCUCUAAAGCGUAUCUUAGAGGAAUAUUUAGCUUUAGAUUCCCGCAUGGAACAGAUGGUGAGUGACAUGCUGUGUUUUCUUUUUAGAGAAACUAUGUAUUCAUGUUUAAUUUUUGGUUGAUUUUCAUUUUGUCAUUCAUACAAUACCGCAGCCAUAUGCCGUUCUGUCAUAGAACGUUGUUUCUAGAUAUAUUUGUUUUAUGUGGUUAAAACAUUUAAAACGAGAGCGAUCAUAUUUCUUAUCCUGACCAUUAUUUUUUCCAGACCACGAUAACCACGUAUUUGGAUGUCUGGUUUAACUCUACAUGCGCUGGUUCGUGCAGGUGAACUUUUUUUCCAGAUACGGAGGAACGGACACCGGUCAUGCCGUGCGCACUCUUCUGCAGGGCAUACUUACAAAUGAAGCUGCACUGCAGUUCAGCUGGAAAGGGUCGCAGGGGAGGAAGCGCGCCUUCGUGAAGCUCACGGCCAUCACGAAUCUCAUUCUAACAUCUGUGAGGAGCACCUUCCCAGGUGCUUCACUGGCAUCAGUGGCUGGAGUCACCAAACGCUGGUUAGUCGGAGCAGCUGACAGGGAUGGAGGCCGGAACGAGAGAAGGCGCCGUGACCCUGCUUCAAGCCCACCAUGAACUCGCGUUUGAAACUUUUGUGAACGUGUGGGUGUAUAUAUACAAGACAAAUACAAGAAAUAAAGACCUGGA